RNAcentral lists this long non-coding RNA (497 nucleotides) under Nicotiana benthamiana. RNAcentral's name for it is "long non-coding RNA (NBEN_LNC018066)". Lineage: Eukaryota; Viridiplantae; Streptophyta; Magnoliopsida; Solanales; Solanaceae. The record is from RNAcentral.
GAAAGAAAGUUGUCCUUAUCUUCUCCUCCAACCGCUACCUCCUCCCGACAUGAAGGAAUGCCCAAUUAUCCUUCGGGGGCUGGUAUGUCCUUUCAGUUCUGGUCUGGGGAAGGCCGAUCAAAGAAAGGACUCCUAUACUGCCUGGUGUUGAUUCGGCAAUUUGCGUCUAGUGGGGAGCUUUGUCAUCUCAAAGAAUAAGCGGAUCUUAAUCUUAAAGUCGUGGAUCUCCUGAUGGCGGCUAGCUGCUUUCUGCUCUCCUUAUUAGUUUAGUGCCAACUCCGCUAGGUAUAGGUAGGGAGUCUUCUACAAGUCGCAUUACUGGUCGAUGACCCGAUUUUGGAAGCAGUCGAGAUGCCUUUGCUGGGGGAACCCUUCCUUGCAUUCUUUUAUUGUAUUCGCUUCAAUCGCCCAUGAUUGAGACAAAGGUAGAUGAGAAGAAAUUCUUUUUCUUUCAUAGUCUGCUAAUUUUCUUCUUCUUGCAUCUCGUCGAUACGAUA